UCUCCUCCAGCGGCGGCCGGUGAUUGGGUGGCGGCGGGCACUGGCCUCCGUAAGCACCGCCCCUUUUCCCCGCCCCUUCCCCCCCUCCCACCCUUGCGCCGGGGGAGCGGGGGCGCCGGCGGCGGCUCUGCCACUGCCGGACACCGGAAGUGAGGGAGGGCGGGGGCGCGCGCCCGGGCGCGGGGCACGACGGGACGGUGCCGUGACAGGGCUGGGGCUGGGGGCGAGAUGGCGGCGGUAGCUCUCGGUGCUGCUCCGGACCCGCCGCCGUCCCGGGCCCGUCCGGGGUGAUUCGGGCGUCUCCUGCCUCCCCUUGACAUGGCGGCAGGUGCGCCGGGCUCGGGGAGCGUGCGCGCCGCUGCGGCCGCUUGUGUCCCCUCGCAGGGGCGCGUCCCCGCGGGGCCUCCCCGGGAGCCACGCCCGGGUCAGGGCGCGGAGCAGCCGGGAUGAAGGACGGGGGCGUUGCUUCUCGUGGGGUUUUGUGCUCCCAUUGGGGCUGGGCCGCGAUGCAGCCUCCCCGGCACCUUGUGGGGACAAAAACAUGACUUUUCUGUUAAGAAAUAACUUGUAUUUCACACAACCCCUGGGAAAAAUCGAUACAAAAGCUCUGCAGGCUUCAGAGCCCCCUUGACUUCACUGGGCAGCGGGUGCUCGCGUGGUUUAAUGGCCGGAGGUCUGGACACCGCGGUUCUGCGCCGAGAACCGAGGUCACGACUGCUCCUCGUGGGGUCCCCUCAGAGCCGGGCCUGAAAAAACCUCUGGUGCAGCAAAGGGCAGGAUUUUGCCCUUUUGGCUGUUGCGCUGAAGGAUCUGACAAACUGCCCUAUAUUUCAAAGGACGGAGCUUAACAGGACAGGAUAGGUCUGGAGCGCGGAUCGAGCGGCGGCUGUGGCGAGCAAGGGGAUCGUUCCCCAGAUCUGUGCGGCUGCUGGGCUGUGAAAGCAGGAGCUGGACCGGCAGAUGAAGUGUUUUCAAACUGUCCAUCAACAUUUGCAUACUCUGAUUGUGCCCAAAAUUGAGGAAAUACAUGAGUAACGGGGGGCUGGCCGUUUGUUUGCAUAGUUAAACGACUGAGGCUCCACACUGAAAUGCGAAGGUGACAGGGGCUGAUUGAAAAUGGAGGUAAAUCCUGCAAUCGCUCAGCCUGUCCUUAGGAGAGAGGUGGUUUCUCUUUAUAAAGAAGAAAGUGCUUGGAAAAAGAGAGUAGGAAAAAAAGAUGAGCUGGGGGAAAAAUCAGGGUAGUUUGUGUGAUUUUUGGUGUGCAGAGCACCAUAGUCAAGAUUCACAAAGGUGAGGUCGAGUGCAUAACGAUGCACCUCUUUGGAGAAACAUCGGGAGUUACAGACCGUGUGUAUCCAGCCGCAGUCGACGUCCUUUGCACGUCACCAUAUCACAGGUUUCAUCACGGCAGAGACCACCGGAGGUGAGGGCUUUAAUCACACCACUCAGAGUUUUUAGCCCCUGGAGAACCAGGAAAAAGUCAUUUUUCUGCAGCACAAGAGUUUGGAAUCACCUCGACACAUUUAUUUUCCUUUCGUUAUGAAAAGCACGCAAGCGACCAUACACGCCCGCAGCCACCGGCACAGCCGAGCUGAAGCCACGUGCCAGUGCUCGGUGGCCAAUCUUCAUCACUGGCUGUGCGAAUUAAACGCACACGAACUUGCAUGCAUGUCGCUGAAUUUUGUCACCUGCUCUGCAUCCCCGCACAUCUGCAUCGCUCGCUGGAUAACCUCAAAGACCUCGAGGGCACUGUCCUGCUGUCCCCUGUGCCGGGGGAAGGUGGGACCAGAGUGGGGAACCGCGGGAGAGGAAAACCGCCUGGGUUGUAUUUAUACCCUGUCCCAUUUGCAAAAUCAUAUGUAAUUCUGAAGCAUUUUCAUCCUGGCUCCUCUUUUCAGCUCCACUCAACCUUAUACUUCCCUCAGUUGUAGGAGAUUUUGCAUUUGAAAAAUUAAAAUGAUUUCUUGUG
This is a long non-coding RNA of Columba livia (rock pigeon), 1969 nucleotides long. RefSeq lists it as uncharacterized. The transcript has 3 exons. The record is from RefSeq and is a predicted model, not a curated record. NCBI's taxonomy places the organism in Eukaryota, Metazoa, Chordata, Aves, Columbiformes, Columbidae.